AUUGAACGCUGGCGGCAGGCCUAACACAUGCAAGUCGAGCGGAUGAGGGGAGCUUGCUCCUGGAUUCAGCGGCGGACGGGUGAGUAAUGCCUAGGAAUCUGCCUGGUAGUGGGGGAUAACGUCCGGAAACGGGCGCUAAUACCGCAUACGUCCUGAGGGAGAAAGUGGGGGAUCUUCGGACCUCACGCUAUCAGAUGAGCCUAGGUCGGAUUAGCUAGUUGGUGGGGUAAAGGCCUACCAAGGCGACGAUCCGUAACUGGUCUGAGAGGAUGAUCAGUCACACUGGAACUGAGACACGGUCCAGACUCCUACGGGAGGCAGCAGUGGGGAAUAUUGGACAAUGGGCGAAAGCCUGAUCCAGCCAUGCCGCGUGGGUGAAGAAGGUCUUCGGAUUGUAAAGCACUUUAAGUUGGGAGGAAGGGCAGUAAGUUAAUACCUUGCUGUUUUGACGUUACCAGCAGAAUAAGCACCGGCUAACUUCGU
This 483-nucleotide ribosomal RNA is filed under the name uncultured bacterium. Its description in RNAcentral is "partial 16S ribosomal RNA". It matches the Rfam family "Bacterial small subunit ribosomal RNA", at positions 30 to 506 of the family's 1533-position model. The record is from RNAcentral.